GCGGGUAUAGCUCAGUGGUAGAGCCGCAGCCUUCCAAGCUGAAGAUGCGGGUUCGAUUCCCGCUACCCGCUCCA
This 74-nucleotide transfer RNA is filed under the name Amphiplicatus sp. RNAcentral's name for it is "tRNA-Gly". It matches the Rfam family "tRNA". From Rfam's summary of the family: Transfer RNA (tRNA) molecules are approximately 80 nucleotides in length. Their secondary structure includes four short double-helical elements and three loops (D, anti-codon, and T loops). RNAcentral also lists the same sequence under 2 other names. The record is from RNAcentral. Lineage: Bacteria; Pseudomonadati; Pseudomonadota; Alphaproteobacteria; Parvularculales; Parvularculaceae.